UUAAGCGACUAAGCGUACACGGUGGAUGCCCUGGCAGUCAGAGGCGAUGAAGGACGUGCUAAUCUGCGAUAAGCGUCGGUAAGGUGAUAUGAACCGUUAUAACCGGCGAUUUCCGAAUGGGGAAACCCAGUGUGAUUCGUCACACUAUCAUUAACUGAAUCCAUAGGUUAAUGAGGCGAACCGGGGGAACUGAAACAUCUAAGUACCCCGAGGAAAAGAAAUCAACCGAGAUUCCCCCAGUAGCGGCGAGCGAACGGGGAGCAGCCCAGAGCCUGAAUCAGUGUGUGUGUUAGUGGAAGCGUCUGGAAAGGCGUGCGAUACAGGGUGACAGCCCCGUACACAAAAAUGCACAUGCUGUGAGCUCGAUGAGUAGGGCGGGACACGUGGUAUCCUGUCUGAAUAUGGGGGGACCAUCCUCCAAGGCUAAAUACUCCUGACUGACCGAUAGUGAACCAGUACCGUGAGGGAAAGGCGAAAAGAACCCCGGCGAGGGGAGUGAAAAAGAACCUGAAACCGUGUACGUACAAGCAGUGGGAGCACAGAGCAAUCUGUGUGACUGCGUACCUUUUGUAUAAUGGGUCAGCGACUUAUAUUCUGUAGCAAGGUUAACCGAAUAGGGGAGCCGAAGGGAAACCGAGUCUUAACUGGGCGUUAAGUUGCAGGGUAUAGACCCGAAACCCGGUGAUCUAGCCAUGGGCAGGUUGAAGGUUGGGUAACACUAACUGGAGGACCGAACCGACUAAUGUUGAAAAAUUAGCGGAUGACUUGUGGCUGGGGGUGAAAGGCCAAUCAAACCGGGAGAUAGCUGGUUCUCCCCGAAAGCUAUUUAGGUAGCGCCUCGUGAAUUCAUCUCCGGGGUAGAGCACUGUUUCGGCAAGGGGGUCAUCCCGACUUACCAACCCGAUGCAAACUGCGAAUACCGGAGAAUGUUAUCACGGGAGACACACGGCGGGUGCUAACGUCCGUCGUGAAGAGGGAAACAACCCAGACCGCCAGCUAAGGUCCCAAAGUCAUGGUUAAGUGGGAAACGAUGUGGGAAGGCCCAGACAGCCAGGAUGUUGGCUUAGAAGCAGCCAUCAUUUAAAGAAAGCGUAAUAGCUCACUGGUCGAGUCGGCCUGCGCGGAAGAUGUAACGGGGCUAAACCAUGCACCGAAGCUGCGGCAGCGACGCUUAUGCGUUGUUGGGUAGGGGAGCGUUCUGUAAGCCUGCGAAGGUGUGCUGUGAGGCAUGCUGGAGGUAUCAGAAGUGCGAAUGCUGACAUAAGUAACGAUAAAGCGGGUGAAAAGCCCGCUCGCCGGAAGACCAAGGGUUCCUGUCCAACGUUAAUCGGGGCAGGGUGAGUCGACCCCUAAGGCGAGGCCGAAAGGCGUAGUCGAUGGGAAACAGGUUAAUAUUCCUGUACUUGGUGUUACUGCGAAGGGGGGACGGAGAAGGCUAUGUUGGCCGGGCGACGGUUGUCCCGGUUUAAGCGUGUAGGCUGGUUUUCCAGGCAAAUCCGGAAAACUAAGGCUGAGGCGUGAUGACGAGGCACUACGGUGCUGAAGCAACAAAUGCCCUGCUUCCAGGAAAAGCCUCUAAGCAUCAGGUAACAUCAAAUCGUACCCCAAACCGACACAGGUGGUCAGGUAGAGAAUACCAAGGCGCUUGAGAGAACUCGGGUGAAGGAACUAGGCAAAAUGGUGCCGUAACUUCGGGAGAAGGCACGCUGAUAUGUAGGUGAAGCGACUUGCUCGUGGAGCUGAAAUCAGUCGAAGAUACCAGCUGGCUGCAACUGUUUAUUAAAAACACAGCACUGUGCAAACACGAAAGUGGACGUAUACGGUGUGACGCCUGCCCGGUGCCGGAAGGUUAAUUGAUGGGGUCAGCGCAAGCGAAGCUCUUGAUCGAAGCCCCGGUAAACGGCGGCCGUAACUAUAACGGUCCUAAGGUAGCGAAAUUCCUUGUCGGGUAAGUUCCGACCUGCACGAAUGGCGUAAUGAUGGCCAGGCUGUCUCCACCCGAGACUCAGUGAAAUUGAACUCGCUGUGAAGAUGCAGUGUACCCGCGGCAAGACGGAAAGACCCCGUGAACCUUUACUAUAGCUUGACACUGAACAUUGAGCCUUGAUGUGUAGGAUAGGUGGGAGGCUUUGAAGUGUGGACGCCAGUCUGCAUGGAGCCGACCUUGAAAUACCACCCUUUAAUGUUUGAUGUUCUAACGUUGACCCGUGAUCCGGGUUGCGGACAGUGUCUGGUGGGUAGUUUGACUGGGGCGGUCUCCUCCUAAAGAGUAACGGAGGAGCACGAAGGUUGGCUAAUCCUGGUCGGACAUCAGGAGGUUAGUGCAAUGGCAUAAGCCAGCUUGACUGCGAGCGUGACGGCGCGAGCAGGUGCGAAAGCAGGUCAUAGUGAUCCGGUGGUUCUGAAUGGAAGGGCCAUCGCUCAACGGAUAAAAGGUACUCCGGGGAUAACAGGCUGAUACCGCCCAAGAGUUCAUAUCGACGGCGGUGUUUGGCACCUCGAUGUCGGCUCAUCACAUCCUGGGGCUGAAGUAGGUCCCAAGGGUAUGGCUGUUCGCCAUUUAAAGUGGUACGCGAGCUGGGUUUAGAACGUCGUGAGACAGUUCGGUCCCUAUCUGCCGUGGGCGCUGGAGAACUGAGGGGGGCUGCUCCUAGUACGAGAGGACCGGAGUGGACGCAUCACUGGUGUUCGGGUUGUCAUGCCAAUGGCACUGCCCGGUAGCUAAAUGCGGAAGAGAUAAGUGCUGAAAGCAUCUAAGCACGAAACUUGCCCCGAGAUGAGUUCUCCCUGACUCCUUGAGAGUCCUGAAGGAACGUUGAAGACGACGACGUUGAUAGGCCGGGUGUGUAAGCGCAGCGAUGCGUUGAGCUAACCGGUACUAAUGAACCGUGAGGCUUAACCU
This 2902-nucleotide ribosomal RNA is filed under the name Escherichia coli. RNAcentral describes it as "23S ribosomal RNA". It matches the Rfam family "Bacterial large subunit ribosomal RNA". The record is from RNAcentral. Lineage: Bacteria; Pseudomonadati; Pseudomonadota; Gammaproteobacteria; Enterobacterales; Enterobacteriaceae.